ACCUACGGGAGGCAGCAGUAGGGAAUCUUCCACAAUGGGCGAAAGCCUGAUGGAGCAACGCCGCGUGGGUGAAGAAGGUCUUCGGAUCGUAAAACCCUGUUGUUAGAGAAGAAAGUGCGUGAGAGUAACUGUUCACGUUUCGACGGUAUCUAACCAGAAAGCCACGGCUAACUACGUGCCAGCAGCCGCGGUAAUACGUAGGUGGUAAGCGUUAUCCGGGUUUAUUGGGCGUAAAGGGAACGCAGGCGGUCUUUUAAGUCUGAUGUGGAAGCCUUCGGCUUAACCGGAGUAGUGCAUUGGAAACU
Molecule: ribosomal RNA, 305 nt
Filed under: uncultured bacterium
Lineage: Bacteria
Description: bacterial SSU rRNA
Rfam family: Bacterial small subunit ribosomal RNA
Source: RNAcentral